RNAcentral lists this non-coding RNA (26 nucleotides) under Homo sapiens (human). The record is from RNAcentral. Lineage: Eukaryota; Metazoa; Chordata; Mammalia; Primates; Hominidae.
UCCACAGGAAAGGGGAGUCGGAUGCC